CUCCUUCCCAGCCAUCUCGCAAGGAGCGGCGUGUUGUGUCGAGAACAAUCGGCUCGAAACUCCGCGAACGAGGAGGGAAAGGGACAGCUCCGAAGCUGAAAGGGUGCAGCACAUUAAUCAAAUCCGAGAACUUUAGGAACAUAUUCAAGAGAAAGAUCGUGUGUUCAUGGAGUUGCAAGAACAGGCUGACAAUGUUCAAGUUGUUGCCUCUGCUCAUUCGCCCCCUUCUUGGCAUGCCACCCUAUGCUCAACCCGGACAGGUGACUGCUUUGCAUCCAUUUGUAAUGCAUCAACAAGGUGCUCCUCAUCCAUCACAUGUUAUACCGUCUCAUUUUCACUCAGUAUCCACAUUGCCCUCCCUUCAAAAUUGACAGCAGAAGGCCAACAUGUUCCUACCCCUAAUCAAUAUCAAGAAACCGUACAAAAUGUGGUAAAAACUCGAUCUAAUCUUGACUAUGAAGCCUCUGGGAAUGGUCAGAUUCUUCAUGUGAAUAAUUUGGAUUCAAAUAUCAGCUGAGGAUUAGCUGCUGAUUCAAUCCCAUCAGCAAAUGGAGAUGGCAAGGUUAUGAUAAUAAUCUCCAGAGAAUCUGCAGCAAGUGUCUUCCCAUUUUCGAAGCGCACUUAGAUUGGAUCAUCUAGAAUAUGGCAACGCCUCUAAGGUUUGGAUAAAGUAGUGAGUAAUUGAUUGAGCAUUCCCCCAGCUUUUGCUUUCUUUGGUAACGGUCACGACUCACAAUGGAAUUGAGAGAUUGUGUUAUUUUAAAACAGACACAGGAGGAACAAGUUAACCAUGUUCAUGAUCAUGGAACGGGAAACAGGAGCCCAAUUGAAAAUAAUCCCGAUCUUGCUGGCCUGGCGUUAUCCGAGAGAGUUGCUAAUGUUAAGAAUUUCAGUGAGAACACCACAAAUAAUGGCUCGAGUAUUCGUGCAGCUGAUGCAUCUGUAUCUGCUGGACAGAAGAGUAUCACAGGAAACACUAUAGAAAGUUUUCUACUGGAUGAAAGAAUAUUAUUAGCAUCGAUAGCUCUCUCAAUAGGCUCUGGUGGCAGAAUUAGGAUUAGUUCAACAGUUAGUAAACUUGCAUAUUUGAAUUAGUCAACAAUGACGCAUGAUUGUUAUGGCCUACCUGGAACAGCUUCCAAAUAGACUUGGGAAAAUGCUCGCCCCUCUUCACUGGCAUGAUUACCAAAGGAAGUAUGGAAGGCUUGAUGAUUUUGUAGCUGGUCAUCCUGAAGACGACUACAUUAAGCUUCGUGAAGGGGCACAGGAAACCAUUGCAGCCUCAGCAGCAGCUGCUGCUGCUGCAGCUCCAUCCUCAUAAUCGACAUUGUUGCCUUCUGUAGCAGUCACUCCCACCGACUGAAGAAAACCUG
Salvia hispanica is the source of this 1373-nucleotide non-coding RNA. NCBI's taxonomy places the organism in Eukaryota, Viridiplantae, Streptophyta, Magnoliopsida, Lamiales, Lamiaceae. The record is from RefSeq and is a predicted model, not a curated record.